This 427-nucleotide ribosomal RNA is filed under the name uncultured bacterium. RNAcentral's name for it is "bacterial SSU rRNA". It matches the Rfam family "Bacterial small subunit ribosomal RNA", at positions 355 to 774 of the family's 1533-position model. The record is from RNAcentral.
UAGGGAAUAUUGGACAAUGGGGGCAACCCUGAUCCAGCCAUGCCGCGUGAGUGAAGAAGGCCCUCGGGUUGUAAAGCUCUUUUGUCCGGAAAGAAAAGCUUCGGGUUAAUACCCCGGGGUUCUGACGGUACCGGAAGAAUAAGCACCGGCUAACUUCGUGCCAGCAGCCGCGGUAAUACGAAGGGUGCAAGCGUUACUCGGAAUUACUGGGCGUAAAGCGUGCGUAGGUGGUUGUUUAAGUCUGAUGUGAAAGCCCUGGGCUCAACCUGGGAAUGGCAUUGGAAACUGGGCAGCUAGAGUGCGGUAGAGGGUAGUGGAAUUCCCGGUGUAGCAGUGAAAUGCGUAGAGAUCGGGAGGAACAUCUGUGGCGAAGGCGACUGCCUGGACCAGCACUGACACUGAGGCACGAAAGCGUGGAGAGCAAACA